UGAAGCUGCUCUGACUGUGUCCCUCUAUGAUUUCAAAAGCAAGUUUCUCUACAUUAGUUGUCAGACUAGAGAAAACAUACUUUCUCUUGAAGGAAAUCAUACUUUCCAAUAAAGAAACUAACUUGAAAAAUUAUUCUAGUCUGCCUACAUUUUGAGAGUCAUAGAUAGGUUUCUUUAGGAUACUGUUGAUUGGAACUCACUGUUUAUUUUAGUUCGUUCAGGUUCUUUUUUUUUCUUUUUUGGGCUGAAUUUGUGGAAUUUCGAUAUCAGGUGAAAACCUAGGUGGAAAUGGAAUCGUAGAAAGCUACAAAUACAAGUGAACUUACAAAAUUCCUUGUGCGACUGGUCCA
Molecule: unclassified non-coding RNA, 350 nt
Filed under: Hevea brasiliensis (rubber tree)
Lineage: Eukaryota; Viridiplantae; Streptophyta; Magnoliopsida; Malpighiales; Euphorbiaceae
Source: RNAcentral